RNAcentral lists this ribosomal RNA (253 nucleotides) under uncultured bacterium. RNAcentral's name for it is "partial 16S ribosomal RNA". It matches the Rfam family "Bacterial small subunit ribosomal RNA", at positions 524 to 776 of the family's 1533-position model. The record is from RNAcentral.
UACGGAGGGGGCUAGCGUUGUUCGGAAUUACUGGGCGUAAAGCGCACGUAGGCGGCUUUGUAAGUUAGAGGUGAAAGCCCGGGGCUCAACCCCGGAAUUGCCUUUAAGACUGCAUCGCUUGAACGUCGGAGAGGUGAGUGGAAUUCCGAGUGUAGAGGUGAAAUUCGUAGAUAUUGGGAGGAACACCAGUGGCGAAGGCGGCUCACUGGACUGGUACUGACGCUGAGGCGCGAAAGCGUGGGGAGCAAACGGG